This 954-nucleotide unclassified non-coding RNA is filed under the name Athalia rosae (coleseed sawfly). RNAcentral describes it as "misc RNA ENSAEAG00005003730.1". The record is from RNAcentral. Lineage: Eukaryota; Metazoa; Arthropoda; Insecta; Hymenoptera; Athaliidae.
UCCUUCGUGUCGUCUAAUUAAAGCAAGAACUGAGUUUAGGUCACGGCCAAGGUCCUCUGGUAGAGCGGCGUCUUUCUCUUGAAUGCGUGAUAACGCCUCGGCCACAUCUCGGUGAAAACGAUGUAUCUCUCCAGCUGCUUGCAAGCGUUGCUCGCGAUGUUGCAUCAGACCGAGGAGGUGUUGCCAGGAUUCUCUAUAUUUGAAUAUACCAAAUAUCAAAAUGAAUCUGUGAUCCGACAUUAAUUUUGAUUGUCGUCAUCGCGAAAUCUGUGAGUUGCAGUGGAAAAUUGGCAAAGUUAAUGAAAAGCGGCAAAAUUAAUGCAAAUAAGUCUAAAAAGAAUAAAAAUACUCAAUUGGAAAUUAAUUGGGAUAGUGAAACGAUGCUUCGAUGCCAAACUGCGAGAUUAAAGUACACAUGGGACAAUUACACUUUUUACGGGGUUGAAACUCACCGUAUGACUUCGUGCCUCCUUAAAACCUCUUGUACUGGGUCGUACUUGCUUGCUUACCCAAGUUGUUCUUGACGUUUUUCGAUAUCUUGAAUAUAAGGACUUUCGUUGGCAAUUAAUUUUUUUGCAAGCUCUUCGCACUGAUUGAACCUUUCCGAGCCAGCUUCGAUUCUGUGUUUAAAAUCGUCAAAUUUGGUUUGUAGUAUCAAUAAAUGUUCGUAAUCUUGUCCAUAAUCUUCUGACGCAGCUGCCUGUUCCUGUUCUUUGAUCCAUUGCUCUAAUUCUGUACUUUCUAAGAAAUAUUCAUGGCGAUACAUGCUUUCCAUGAGUCGCUGUUGUCUGGAUGUUGCCAGCCUCUGAAGUGCUCGUAUUUGCUGAGCAAUUGAUUGCUGCUUACUAGCUAUAGCUUUACUGUCUGGAUGUUUGGCAUUCACCAUUGCAGUUGCAGUGUGACCCAUUUCAGUUACGAUCCCAUUAUACGUAUCCAACUCCAAGUCUACAGCCU